Molecule: RNase P RNA, 314 nt
Filed under: archaeon
Lineage: Archaea
Description: RNase P RNA component
Rfam family: Archaeal RNase P
About the family: Ribonuclease P (RNase P) is a ubiquitous endoribonuclease, found in archaea, bacteria and eukarya as well as chloroplasts and mitochondria.
Source: RNAcentral
GUAAGUCAGGUAGUUGACUUCGGGGCUGGGCAUUAAAUUGUCAAGAGAUCAGAAUAUAUGAUUUCUAGUUCUGAGGAAGGUCCGGACACCAUGAAAAGUCGCUUUUCGAAAGAAAAGAUGUCGCGAGGUAUGGCUCUGUUACAGAAACGCCACAGUUUGCUUUGAGUAAUGAAUCCGUGGGAGGAACUUUGAUAAGCAAGAUUUGAUGAAACGAACAUCCCGACUGGUGCAAGGUCUAAGUACCGCAUAGUUGAAUGUCAACACUUUCCGUCUGAUAUCAGGGAAAGACAGAAUCUGGCCUAUUCCUGACUUAC